Molecule: non-coding RNA, 141 nt
Organism: Chelonoidis abingdonii (Abingdon island giant tortoise)
Lineage: Eukaryota; Metazoa; Chordata; Testudines; Testudinidae
Source: RefSeq, a predicted model, not a curated record
AUACUUUUCUGAAUUUAUAAAAAAAUGUGAAUACUAUGGUAGAUAAGGCGAGUAUACUUAUGUUUGUUUUCUUUAUUUGCAAAUGUGUAAUUUGGCUGGAAGGAGUUCAAUAAUUUGUAUUUUGCUGAGAAGGAUUUUUAA